This 745-nucleotide long non-coding RNA is filed under the name Mytilus galloprovincialis (Mediterranean mussel). The record is from RNAcentral. Lineage: Eukaryota; Metazoa; Mollusca; Bivalvia; Mytilida; Mytilidae.
UAUAUCUGAUUCCAUAAGUAUUUUUUAUUAUGGCUUUUAAAGCAAAUUUAAGAGUGUCCUCUAGUGAACAGACAAUAAGUGAUGAUAACAUACAUGUCAUUUAACUUGUCACUUAACAUAGUGACAUAAUCAUGUGACAUAGUAUGAUCUGGCAUAAUGUGAUGACAUAAAUGACAUACAUUAAUACAACAUACGGUAGAAUGCAUCCUACCAAGAAAAUUAUUAUCAAAUCUGAGACUUCUAAAAUGGAUAUUUAUUGGUCAAAAUUUACUAUAAUGACUUUUUUUUAAAACGUUGAUGAAUUUCAAUUUUACUAACCUCGAAAUAAAUCUUUUAAUUUUAGGCCACAUCUGACUAGCUUUAAUUUUUGUCUUAUAAAUAGGUGCUGGCAGAUUGUUACUUCAGUUGUGGAAAAUUGUAAAUAUUUUUUUUAUUCAUCUUUAGUUUAAGUAGUGCAAAGAUGAAAAUCCAUCAUUUUAAACUACAAUUUUUGUUUUUAGUUAAGAUUAUUCAACUUAUCUUCAUACAUGGCAAACUAGACAACUUUUGCCUUAUAAACAUCAAUAAUUGAUCAAAAUGUCACUUCAAUUUACUAAAUUCCUAAUUUAACCUCAUUUCUAUUCUUUAAUCCAAUUAUUCUUUUAACGAAAUAUUAAAUAUUUGUACAUGUAAUAUUUCUCAUGAAACAUAGUCACAUGACCUAUACAUUAUAUGACAUAGCAACCACUCACAUGACACAGUAACA